CGGAAAUGCUCAGAUAUUACUCAGAACACCGAUUGCGAAGGCAGCUUAACCAAGCUGUAUUUGACACUGAGGCACGAAAGCGUGGGUAGCGAAACAGGAUUAGAUACCCUGGUAGUCCACGCCGUAAACGAUGAUAACUCGUUGCUGGCGAUACACAGUUCAGUGACUAAGGGAAACCGAUAAGUUAUCUACCUGGGGAGUACGACCGCAAGGUUGAAACUCAAAGGAAUUGACGGGGGCCCGCACAAGCGGAGGAACAUGUGGUUUAAUUCGAUGAUACGCGAGGAACCUUACCCAGGCUUGAAAGUUAAUGACCGUCCCUGAAAGGGGAUUUCUCUUCGGAGCAUGGAACUAGGUGCUGCAUGGUUGUCGUCAGCUCGUGCCGUGAGGUGUCGGGUUAAGUUCCAUAACGAGCGCAACCCUUGUCGUUAGUUGCUAACAGGUGAAGCUGAGGACUCUAGCGAGACUGCCGGUGUAAACCGUGAGGAAGGUGGGGAUGACGUCAAAUCAGCACGGCCCUUACGUCUGGGGCGACACACGUGUUACAAUGGGUGGUACAGAGAGUUGCGAGGCAGUGAUGUUGAGCCAAUCUCAAAAAGCCAUUCUCAGUUCGGAUCGCAGGCUGCAACCCGCCUGCGUGAAGUUGGAUUCGCUAGUAAUCGCACAUCAGCCAUGGUGCGGUGAAUACGUUCCCGGGCCUUGUACACACCGCCCGUCAAGCCAUGGAAGUUUGGGGUGCCUGAAGUACGUGACCGUAAAAGGAGCGUCCUAGGGCAAAACAGAUAACUAGGGCU
This 794-nucleotide ribosomal RNA is filed under the name uncultured bacterium. RNAcentral's name for it is "bacterial SSU rRNA". It matches the Rfam family "Bacterial small subunit ribosomal RNA", at positions 681 to 1482 of the family's 1533-position model. The record is from RNAcentral.